UGGCGGCGUGCCUAAUACAUGCAAGUCGAGCGCAGGAAGCCGUCUGAACCCUUCGGGGGGACGACGGUGGAAUGAGCGGCGGACGGGUGAGUAACACGUAAAGAACCUGCCCAUAGGUCUGGGAUAACCACGAGAAAUCGGGGCUAAUACCGGAUGUGUCAUCGGACCGCAUGGUCCGCUGAUGAAAGGCGCUCCGGCGUCGCCCAUGGAUGGCUUUGCGGUGCAUUAGCUAGUUGGUGGGGUAACGGCCCACCAAGGCGACGAUGCAUAGCCGACCUGAGAGGGUGAUCGGCCACACUGGGACUGAGACACGGCCCAGACUCCUACGGGAGGCAGCAGUAGGGAAUCUUCCACAAUGGACGAAAGUCUGAUGGAGCAACGCCGCGUGAACGAUGAAGGCUUUCGGGUCGUAAAGUUCUGUUGUAAGGGAAGAACAAGUGCCGCAGGCAAUGGCGGCACCUUGACGGUACCUUGCGAGAAAGCCA
Molecule: ribosomal RNA, 485 nt
Filed under: marine sediment bacterium ISA-1286
Lineage: Bacteria
Description: bacterial SSU rRNA
Rfam family: Bacterial small subunit ribosomal RNA
Source: RNAcentral